Molecule: long non-coding RNA, 464 nt
Organism: Pantherophis guttatus
Lineage: Eukaryota; Metazoa; Chordata; Lepidosauria; Squamata; Colubridae
Source: RefSeq, a predicted model, not a curated record
CAUAUCAUCAGAACAGAACCAGCAGGGUUGUCUAUUCAAUAUGCCUGCAGUGGCCUGUAAAAAUCUCUGGAUUCAGUGCUUUUGUCUACAAAAAGUACAAUUAUACCUCUGUGCGUAAGUGAACAGAACUUGGCAAUAUUCUAUCUACCUUUCUGAUUCCAAGCAGCCCUGAAGAUAAAUAGCAAGCAAGAACUUCAAAGUAUUGGAGGAUAUAAAAAUAUGUAUUCCACACUUGGCAGAAAUAUAUUCAAAGGAAAAGCGUUCAUAAAGAAUCCCCUUAACAGGAAGCUAUCGAAAGAUGAAUAGUCCUGGCUGUUUGGCUCAUAAACUCUGAAAUGGCCCUUAGAUGACAAAUUACCAAUGAACUCUCCAUCUGCUUGAAUUUGCCAUACAAUGAUCAUCCCAGUUGCAUAGUAUGGACUUCUACAAUGAUAGGAACAGAGAGACGACCAUCCAAUAAAAGA